RNAcentral lists this ribosomal RNA (448 nucleotides) under uncultured bacterium. RNAcentral's name for it is "bacterial SSU rRNA". It matches the Rfam family "Bacterial small subunit ribosomal RNA", at positions 29 to 521 of the family's 1533-position model. The record is from RNAcentral.
AACGAACGCUGGCGGCAUGCCUAACACAUGCAAGUCGAACGCCCUCUUCGGAGGGAGUGGCGCACGGGUGCGUAACGCGUGGGAACCUGCCCUUAGGUUCGGAAUAACUCAGAGAAAUUUGAGCUAAUACCGGAUAAUGUCUUCGGACCAAAGAUUUAUCGCCUUUGGAUGGGCCCGCGUUGGAUUAGCUAGUUGGUGGGGUAAAGGCCUACCAAGGCGACGAUCCAUAGCUGGUCUGAGAGGAUGAUCAGCCACACUGGGACUGAGACACGGCCCAGACUCCUACGGGAGGCAGCAGUGGGGAAUAUUGGACAAUGGGCGAAAGACCUGAUCCAGCAAUGCCGCGUGAGUGAUGAAGGCCUUAGGGUUGUAAAGCUCUUUUACUGGGGAUGAUAAUGACAGUACCUGGAGAAUAAGCUCCGGCUAACUCCGUGCCAGCAGCCGCGGU